UGCACAGGUUUUGAUAAAUCUCAUGUCUAGGGGCGGAGUUCCCCUUUAAGAAUCUUCACCACCAACACAUGAAAGAAAAAUGACCAACAACACUCCGAGCUCUGAGCAGAGUCUUUGCACCAGAUGUCACCAGGAUCCCUUAUAUUUACGGUAGGAAGGUCGCCUCGGCCUGCUCUGAUGUCAGCAGACUAUGUGGCUGGGCAAGUUCACUCCACUUCUAUGAGUAACACUGGAGGAAGGCAAUUCAUAACAUCGAGAGCAUCAAGUCGGCUGCAUUUUUAGGAGCGAAUAUGGUGCCCCGAAUUGGAAUGUAGCAGAGAUAAUAAGAAGUUUAUCUAAAGAAGAAAUACGCAGAAGAAGACAUAACCAAUUAGCAGCUUUCAACACCCAAUUCAAGCAACCUUUCGCAUACGUCAUUAUAUAGACGUCUAUAUAACCCCUGUACAUUUUUUUUCUGGUUAAUAAAGAAAGUAUCAUCUCAACUGACACUGCGUCAGGGUGGUCUUUCUGGCGUGCGCACCACUCUUGAUAAACUAAACAGGAAGCGGGCAGAUUUUCACUGGGUACAACCAUGAUCUAUGAUAGAGGUGUUAACCCGCAUCAGAAAGAAGCCACAUUCUUACUAUGACACCCACUCGCCUACAUGUGCCUUCAUAGAAUGAACUAUAGGUGUAGCAUGCAAUAGCCUUCCACCCAAGAGAAGCCGUCUGGUCUA
Hyla sarda is the source of this 715-nucleotide long non-coding RNA. RefSeq lists it as uncharacterized. The transcript is spliced from 3 exons. NCBI's taxonomy places the organism in Eukaryota, Metazoa, Chordata, Amphibia, Anura, Hylidae. The record is from RefSeq and is a predicted model, not a curated record.